RNAcentral lists this ribosomal RNA (253 nucleotides) under uncultured bacterium. RNAcentral's name for it is "partial 16S ribosomal RNA". It matches the Rfam family "Bacterial small subunit ribosomal RNA", at positions 524 to 776 of the family's 1533-position model. The record is from RNAcentral.
UACGAAGGGGGCUAGCGUUGCUCGGAAUCACUGGGCGUAAAGGGUGCGUAGGCGGCUUGUUAAGUCAGGGGUGAAAUCCUGGAGCUCAACUCCAGAACUGCCUUUGAUACUGGCGAGCUUGAGUUCGGGAGAGGUGAGUGGAACUGCGAGUGUAGAGGUGAAAUUCGUAGAUAUUCGCAAGAACACCAGUGGCGAAGGCGGCUCACUGGCCCGAUACUGACGCUGAGGUGCGAAAGCGUGGGGAGCAAACAGG